AUACGUAGGGGGCGAGCGUUGUCCGGAGUUAUUGGGCGUAAAGGGCGUGUAGGCGGCUUGUUAAGUCAGGUGUGAAAUUUCAGGGCUUAACCCUGAAACUGCGCUUGAAACUGGCAGGCUCGAGGACAGGAGAGGGAAGUGGAAUUCCCGGUGUAGCGGUGGAAUGCGUAGAUAUCGGGAGGAACACCGGUGGCGAAGGCGGCUUCCUGGACUGUACCUGACGCUGAGGCGCGAAAGCUAGGGGAGCAAACAGGAAUAGAUACCCUGGUAGUCCUAGCUGUAAACGAUGAGUGCUAGGUGUGGGAGGUUGAAAUCCUUCCGUGCCGGAGUUAACGCAAUAAGCACUCCGCCUGGGGAGUACGGCCGCAAGGCUAAA
RNAcentral lists this ribosomal RNA (376 nucleotides) under uncultured bacterium. RNAcentral describes it as "bacterial SSU rRNA". It matches the Rfam family "Bacterial small subunit ribosomal RNA", at positions 523 to 898 of the family's 1533-position model. The record is from RNAcentral.